This 261-nucleotide long non-coding RNA is filed under the name Ananas comosus (pineapple). Its description in RNAcentral is "long non-coding RNA (ACOM_LNC032061)". Lineage: Eukaryota; Viridiplantae; Streptophyta; Magnoliopsida; Poales; Bromeliaceae. The record is from RNAcentral.
GAAUUGAGAUGUUUUUUUUUUCCUUAGAAAAAAAUGGUAUGCUAUCCGCUUCGUAUAUGUUUUUAAAAAUAAAUUUAGUUAAAAAUAUAAAUCCAUUAGAAUUUGAAUUUAAAAUCUCAAGUAUCAAUCAUCAAGUCUUUUAUCACUUGCGUUAAUCAAUUAGAAUUCGAACCAAGAUGUUAUUAUUAACCAAGUAUAAUUAUACCGACCGGAAAGGAUAAUUGGGAAGAUUUUUUCUUUUUUCUUCUUUUCAUUUUGAAU